UUUGUGUCAUCAGCAAAUCUGGAGAUGUUACAUUUAAUUCCUUCGUCUAAAUCGUUAAUAUAUAUUGUAAAUAACUGGGGUCCCAGCACUGAUCUUUGCGGCACCCCACUUAUCACUGCCUACCAUUCUGAAAGGGA
Molecule: long non-coding RNA, 137 nt
Organism: Amblyraja radiata (thorny skate)
Lineage: Eukaryota; Metazoa; Chordata; Chondrichthyes; Rajiformes; Rajidae
Exons: 3
Source: RefSeq, a predicted model, not a curated record